This 737-nucleotide ribosomal RNA is filed under the name Priestia endophytica. RNAcentral describes it as "bacterial SSU rRNA". It matches the Rfam family "Bacterial small subunit ribosomal RNA", at positions 8 to 725 of the family's 1533-position model. The record is from RNAcentral. Lineage: Bacteria; Bacillati; Bacillota; Bacilli; Caryophanales; Bacillaceae.
AGAGUUUGAUCCUGGCUCAGGACGAACGCUGGCGGCGUGCCUAAUACAUGCAAGUCGAGCGGAGUUUUGAAAAGCUUGCUUUUCAAAACUUAGCGGCGGACGGGUGAGUAACACGUGGGCAACCUGCCCUUGAGACGGGGAUAACUCCGGGAAACCGGAGCUAAUACCGGAUAACACAUAUCUUCGCAUGAGGAUAUGUUAGAAGGUGGCUUUUAGCUACCACUCAAGGAUGGGCCCGCGGCGCAUUAGCUAGUUGGUGAGGUAACGGCUCACCAAGGCGACGAUGCGUAGCCGACCUGAGAGGGUGAUCGGCCACACUGGGACUGAGACACGGCCCAGACUCCUACGGGAGGCAGCAGUAGGGAAUCUUCCGCAAUGGACGAAAGUCUGACGGAGCAACGCCGCGUGAGUGAUGAAGGUUUUCGGAUNNUAAAGCUCUGUUGUUAGGGAAGAACAAGUACCUGUUAAAUAAGCAGGUACCUUGACGGUACCUAACCAGAAAGCCACGGCUAACUACGUGCCAGCAGCCGCGGUAAUACGUAGGUGGCAAGCGUUGUCCGGAAUUAUUGGGCGUAAAGCGCGCGCAGGCGGUUCCUUAAGUCUGAUGUGAAAGCCCACGGCUCAACCGUGGAGGGUCAUNNNNNCUGGGGAACUUGAGUGCAGAAGAGGAGAGCGGAAUUUCCACGUGUAGCGGUGAAAUGCGUANNNNNUNGGAGGAACACCAGGGCGAAGGCGGC